Molecule: small RNA, 919 nt
Filed under: Microascus senegalensis
Lineage: Eukaryota; Fungi; Ascomycota; Sordariomycetes; Microascales; Microascaceae
Description: eukaryotic LSU rRNA
Rfam family: Eukaryotic large subunit ribosomal RNA
Source: RNAcentral
ACCCGCUGAACUUAAGCAUAUCAAUAAGCGGAGGAAAAGAAACCAACAGGGAUUGCCCCAGUAACGGCGAGUGAAGCGGCAACAGCUCAAAUUUGAAAUCUGGCCCCCCCGCGGGGCCCGAGUUGUAAUUUGAAGAGGAUGCUUCUGGCAAGGUGCCGUCCGAGUUCCCUGGAACGGGACGCCGCAGAGGGUGAGAGCCCCGUACGGUCGGACGCCGAGCCUCUGUGAAGCUCCUUCGACGAGUCGAGUAGUUUGGGAAUGCUGCUCAAAAUGGGAGGUAAACCCCUUCUAAAGCUAAAUACCGGCCAGAGACCGAUAGCGCACAAGUAGAGUGAUCGAAAGAUGAAAAGCACUUUGAAAAGAGAGUUAAAAAGCACGUGAAAUUGUUGAAAGGGAAGCGCUUGCGACCAGACUCGCGCCCGUCGGAUCAGCCGUCGCUCGUCGGCGGCGCACUCCGGCGGGCUCGGGCCAGCAUCAGUUCGCCUCGGGGGGAGAAAGGCGGCGGGAAUGUGGCUCUACGGAGUGUUAUAGCCCGCCGCGUAAUACCCCCGGGCGGACUGAGGACCGCGCGUAUGCAAGGAUGCUGGCGUAAUGGUCGUCAGCGACCCGUCUUGAAACACGGACCAAGGAGUCGUCCUAAUAUGCGAGUGUACGGGUGUCAAACCCCUGCGCGUAAUGAAAGUGAACGGAGGUGAGAGCUUCGGCGCAUCAUCGACCGAUCCUGAUGUUCUCGGAUGGAUUUGAGUAAGAGCAUAUUGGGCCGGACCCGAAAGAAGGUGAACUAUGCCUGUGUAGGGUAAAGCCAGAGGAAACUCUGGUGGAGGCUCGCAGCGGUUCUGACGUGCAAAUCGAUCGUCAAAACAUGGGCAUGGGGGCGAAAGACUAAUCGAACCUUCUAGUAGCUGGUUUCCGCCGAGUU